GAUGAAGAACGCAGCGAAAUGCGAUAAGUAAUGUGAAUUGCAGAAUUCAGUGAAUCAUCGAAUCUUUGAACGCACAUUGGGCCCGCCAGUAUUCUGGCGGGCAUGCCUGUUCGAGCGUCAUUACAACCCUCAGGCCCCCGGGCCUGGCGUUGGGGAUCGGCGGAAGCCCCCUGUGGGCACACGCCGUCCCUCAAAUACAGUGGCGGUCCCGCCGCAGCUUCCAUUGCGUAGUAGCUAACACCUCGCAACUGGAGAGCGGCGCGGCCAUGCCGUAAAACACCCAACUUCUGAAUGUUGACCUCGAAUCAGGUAGGAAUACCCGCUGAACUUAAGCAUAUCAAUAAGCGGAGGA
This 352-nucleotide unclassified non-coding RNA is filed under the name soil metagenome. RNAcentral's name for it is "partial contains 5.8S ribosomal RNA, internal transcribed spacer 2, and large subunit ribosomal RNA". The stretch from base 1 to 120 matches the Rfam family "5.8S ribosomal RNA", at positions 35 to 154 of the family's 154-position model. The record is from RNAcentral.